GACGAACGCUGGCGGCGUGCCUAAUACAUGCAAGUUGAGCGCUGAAGGUUGGUACUUGUACCAACUGGAUGAGCAGCGAACGGGUGAGUAACGCGUGGGGAAUCUGCCUUUGAGCGGGGGACAACAUUUGGAAACGAAUGCUAAUACCGCAUAAAAACUUUAAACACAAGUUUUAAGUUUGAAAGAUGCAAUUGCAUCACUCAAAGAUGAUCCCGCGUUGUAUUAGCUAGUUGGUGAGGUAAAGGCUCACCAAGGCGAUGAUACAUAGCCGGCCUGAGAGGGUGAUCGGCCAAAAUGGGACCGGGACAAGGCCCAAACUCCUACGGGAGGCAGCAGUAGGGAAUCUUCGGCAAUGGACGAAAGGCUGACCGAGCAACGCCGCGUGAGUGAAGAAGGGUUUCGGAUCGUAAAACUCUGUUGGUAGAGAAGAACGUUGGUGAGAGUGGAAAGCGCAUCAAGUGACGGUAACUACCCAGAAAGGGACGGCUAACUACGUG
Molecule: ribosomal RNA, 497 nt
Filed under: uncultured bacterium
Lineage: Bacteria
Description: partial 16S ribosomal RNA
Rfam family: Bacterial small subunit ribosomal RNA
Source: RNAcentral